Cyprinus carpio (common carp) is the source of this 1077-nucleotide long non-coding RNA. NCBI's taxonomy places the organism in Eukaryota, Metazoa, Chordata, Actinopteri, Cypriniformes, Cyprinidae. The record is from Ensembl.
AUGCAGGUUUUGCACUCUCAACGCCUUAAUGAACCUCUGCUCAAGCCAUGGGUAAUCCUCAGCUACAGUGGCCAAGUAGAGUGUGUACACUGCACAUGCAUGGCUGGCAUAGCAGAGUCUUGCACACAUGUUGGGGCUCUCCUUUUUAAAAUUGAAGCAGCAGUCCGGAUACGGGGCACCAAGACUGUCACUGAUGUUCCAGCCUACUGGAUGAUGCCUGCUAAUGUUGAUAAGGUCCAAGCAGAGGUGGGCCACAUGAUCGACUUCACCACUGGUGCAGCUAAGAGAGUGGCACUUGACAAGUGCAUCAGUGGAGAGAGGGGAAUGUCAGGGAUACGUACUUGUUUAGGCUCCACGAGUCAUUGUGCACAUGAGCCCACACUUUCAGACCUGUCACCCCUGCUUCAGAUUUUGCACACUCACAGCAAGGCCGUUUGUCUUUCUGGGAUGGAAGAGUAUUACCAUCAUUAUAUCGACCCAGUUAAGCCACAUGCAGUGCCAAAGUCCCUACAGCAUCUUCGUGACCCAGGAAAGGAUGGAUGCGAUCUGCCCAUCCUGUUCCAGCAUUGCAACACCCUCACACACCUGGUAGCAGUAACAGAGACACAGGCAGCUGCAAUUGAAGCUCAGACGAGACUGCAACAUCGAUCAUCUGUCUGGUACACAUCAAGAGCAGGAAGAAUAACAGCUUCAAAUAUGCAUGCCGUUAUGUCCGCUAGUGUUGAGAAACCAGCCACAUCAACUGUGUCAGUAGUGUGCAAAAAAACAGCAACCUCAGCUGCCAUCAGAUGGGGGAUAGACAAUGAAGGAACAGCAAGGCACUAUACUCAACAAGCCUCCACAAAGACACCUGUUUCAACAGAGUUACAACCAUCUCACACAAAAAGAACAAAAACACAUACAUGUGAGAACAUGCAAAGACUCUGGUGCAUUUGCAAAGGGCCUGAAGAUCUGGAUGACAUGGUGGCUUGUGACAAUGAAAGUUGUGCAGUCCAGUGGUUCCACCUCAGCUGUGUGGGACUCAGUCAGGCACCUUCAGAAACUGAGUCAUGGCUUUGUACCUCCUGUACACACUGA